Molecule: ribosomal RNA, 118 nt
Filed under: Sorex araneus (European shrew)
Lineage: Eukaryota; Metazoa; Chordata; Mammalia; Eulipotyphla; Soricidae
Source: RNAcentral
GUCUACGGCCAUACCACGCUGAACGCGCCCGAUCUCGUCUGAUCUCGGAAGCUAAGCAGGGUCGGGCCUGGUUAGUACUUGGAUGGGAGAAACAAAACAGGAACGAGGGCCAUAAGGU